Molecule: long non-coding RNA, 936 nt
Organism: Aethina tumida (small hive beetle)
Lineage: Eukaryota; Metazoa; Arthropoda; Insecta; Coleoptera; Nitidulidae
Exons: 3
Source: RefSeq, a predicted model, not a curated record
UUUUCCAUUUCGACGCCAUACCAGAUGCACCUGCUCCAGUGGCAAUCGCAGCACCAGUACCAGCAUCUAUACCAGUACAAGUACAAGCACCAGAACCAGCACCAAUUCUAGCCUAAGUUCCAGCACCAGUACGAGUUCAAAUUCCACUGCCAAUACUAGCCCCAGUUCCAGUUCCAGAUGUAGUACCACCACUUGUGCCUAAUGUGUGACAAGUUCCACACACUGUAACUGUCCGGUAUAAUGACAGAGAUCCGCCUCCACUACAUUAUUUUACACCCAGAAGACUGACAACUUCCAGCACAGAGGAGACGGAUUUGAAUUAUUUGCACAUGCUUCAUGUGUAAGUAGUUUCGAGAAGCCUGUUGAUGAAUUAGGCCACCCCAGGAUGCGGACUCACCGUAUGAGCUACUGCAUGAAAUGACACCUAUUGACCUCUCACUAUAGGGAGUCGGAAUAAAAUUAUUUGCACUUGCUAAAUAUGUAAAUAAUAUCCAGAUGAAUUGUGAUGAACUAUAGGACCACAGAAUUCAGUCCCACUUACUAGUUACUCAAUCAUGUUACAGUGAACUUUUUACCUUUAAAACGUAAAACACAUUUAAUUUAAAGAUUUUGAUGACGGAUUUCGAAGAUAUUGUUUGGUUGUAAGAUCAAAUCAAAUUUACUUGAAAGACGACAACGUGUUUCUAAACUACAUAUUUCGAAUUAGGAUUAAUUGAAUUAACCAUAACUCUUGCCUAUAAUUGGACAGGGUGACAUGCUAUAAGGUGACGUAAUCUUAGCAACAUAAUUGUUAUUUUCUUUUAUUUGACAAACAAACUUCCUUCGUUUCUAUUGAAACAUGAAAGCUUGCAAAACGUCACUCAAUCCAAUACUCACUCCCAAAUGUCCGUUUAUUUUUGUAAUUACUAAUUAAUUAAAAUUUUAUUUAUGUAUAUA